GCUCAGCGGCUUUGAAAAAUGUAGAGCUCUCAAGGCAAGGAAAGGGUUUGAUGCAAUUUAAAAAAGACAGACUCCCACACCUCUCAGAGCCAUAUGUUUCCAUUCAGAUCGCGUUACCCUCGAGGUGGGUGCUACUGCGGGCUGUGCAGCCAAGCCCGGCUGUUCUGCUGAUGCUCCCAGGACCCCCGGCUCACCGAGGAGGCAGACGGGCUGAGCAAGUGCACACGGGUGGGUACGAGGUGCCAGUGGCAGCCUCUUGGCCAAGCUGAGGCUGCAAAGCGGUGACAUACGCCAUUUGGUGUGCCCAGCGCCAGCGCAGAAUCAGGUUGUCGCUAUCUGGGGGGAAGGACUGAAAGUGAAUGAAGCCAUUCUGUCGACCUACAGAAUGGGAGGAAGUAUGCGGGAAGAUGCUACAGAGGAAAUGGCUGCUGAGCUGGGUUUAUAGAAGAGGGAAGCUUUCUCAGAUGCCAGAGGGUAAGGGCAUCUCCAGCAGAGACAACAGAAUACACAAAAGUCUGUUGGCCCCAAGGUGCAAUUGGAGAUUCAACCAAAGGUGCACUCAUAUCCAACACGAUUCCCCUUCUGCUCAGAGAGUCAGCAGCCAGGAAGUGCCAAGAUCUCCCCGAGUGAACUUGGCCCCAUCCUGCCCCCUCCCUGGACCUUGGCUUCUCAUCUCUAAAUGGACCAGAGAAACUCGUGAUCGUACGAAUCUCUAAUCUAGGAUACUGGGAGAAGGGCGGGCUGACAAAAGACCUGGUCCUGUGAUUUAUAAGUGUUGUCUUCCAGUUAGGAUAAUUUAUAUUGUGAGUUAUAGAAAAUCUACUCCAAUUAGCUUAAAAAUAAAGGCUCUGAGUUUGUGUCAAAGAAAAGUCAGCAGCUUACGGCUAGCAGGUGAAGCUUGAUCCAGCAGCUCAAUAACACCAUUAUUUUCUGUCUCUCCUUCUGUCUCCCAUGGUGUCAGCCUCAUUCUAAGUCUGUUUCUUUUCAUGGUUCUUUGCACUGCUCACGGCCCCACACUUUCUUGUCCUUGCCCAGCAGGGACCAAAGGGAGGGUCUUAUCUCAGCACUGUCCCCAAAACCUUGAGAUGCACUAUGGUUGGUCAGCCUAGUUCUCAAGUCCACUGCUGAUCUAACCUCUGUGGUCAGAGGGAGGAGA
Molecule: long non-coding RNA, 1156 nt
Organism: Choloepus didactylus (southern two-toed sloth)
Lineage: Eukaryota; Metazoa; Chordata; Mammalia; Pilosa; Megalonychidae
Exons: 3
Source: RefSeq, a predicted model, not a curated record